This is a long non-coding RNA of Harmonia axyridis, 2711 nucleotides long. RefSeq lists it as uncharacterized. The record is from RefSeq and is a predicted model, not a curated record. Lineage: Eukaryota; Metazoa; Arthropoda; Insecta; Coleoptera; Coccinellidae. The transcript is spliced from 2 exons.
AAAAUAUCCGAAAAACUCAAAACACUAUAAAACUCUCUACAUCAAAAUUUAUAACUUUUCAUUCAAUGGGAUACAUUUGAGUUGGAUUACAUGACGUGUCCCGGUAUGGAGAUCCUAAAGGUGAAAUCUGAGCAGGGGAGGUUACAAGUGCUUGGAAGUUGUAUAGGUUCUCCCUACAUGUUCCAUUUCUUUGAAUAGAAGACUUUCUGCGAUGAUAAACUGCAAAAGUUAUCAACAUUGAUGACUUAAAUCUCUACCUUCCUGUAUUGACAGUUCGCCUCUUCAGUUUGAAAUAAACUCAACACAAAAAACAUUGAUAUACAUUUGGGUUACUUACUUUCAGAAAUUGAAUUAUUGAAUAAAAAUCGAUUUAUUCUUUUGAUCUCAGCUGGUUCUAGACCUGUAUAAUCAAAAAACGAAAUAGUUUCCUCACCUGUCCCAGGAUGCAUUUUAGAAGUUUCGAAUAAUAAAUCUUUUAUUCGUUUGACCUCCGCUACUUCUAAGUCUGUUAGAUCUAGGAACUGAAGAUUCUAAAGAAAAAGAAAAACCCAAUAUAAUUGUGGUUACUAUUAUUGAAAGUGUAGUAUUUUUUAUUUGAUAAACACACAAAAACAAAAUAUCCGAAAAACUCAAAACACUAUAAAACUCUCUACAUCAAAAUUUAUAACUUUUCAUUCAAUGGGAUACAUUUGAGUUGGAUUACAUGACGUGUCUCGGUAUGGAGAUCCAAAAGGUGAAAUCUGAGCAGGGGAGGUUACAAGUGCUUGGAAGUUGUAUAGGUUCUCCCAACAUGUUCCAUUUCGUUGAGUAGAAGACUUUCUGCGAUGAUUAUCUCAAAAAGUUAUCAAUAUUAAUGGACAAAACCUAAAUCUCUACCUUCCUGUAUUGACAGUUCGCCUCUUCAGUUUGAAAUAAACUCAACACAAAAAAUAUUGAUAUACAUUCGGGUUACUUACUUUCAGAAAUUGAAUUAUUGAAUAACAAUGUAUUUAUUCUAUCGAUCUCCACCGCUUCUAGACCUGUCAAAUCUAAAAAGGAAAUUGUUUCUUCUUUGAAUAAUGAAGCUUUUAUUCUAUCAAUCUCCGCUGCAUCUAAUCCUGUCAAAUCUAAAAAACUGUAGGAAAUUGUUUCUUCACCUGUCCCAGGUAAUUGCAUUUUAGAGGAAGUUUUGAAUAAUAAAUCAUUUAUUCUCUGUACCUCCGCUGCAUCUGAGCCUGUUAACUCUAAAAACUGAAGAUUCUAAAAUAAAAUAAAAUAAAAACUCAAUAUAAUAGUGGAAACCAAAGUUUUUACGAAAGUAAAAUAUCCGAAAAACACAGAACACUAUGAAACUCUCUUCAUCAAAAUUUAUAACUUUUCGUUCAAUGGGAUACAUUUGUGUUGGAUCACAUGACGUAUCUCGGUAUGGAGAUCCUAAAGGUGAAACCUGAGGAGGAGAGGUUACAAGUGCUUGGAAGUUGUAUAGGUUUUCCCAACAUACUUCUUUUCGUUGAAUAGAAAAUUUUCUGCGAUGAUUAUCUGAAAAUGUUAUCAAUAUAAAUGAUUAGCUCUUAAAUCUCUACCUUCCUGUAUUGACAGUUCGCCUCUUCUGUUUGAAAUAAACUAAACACAAAAAACAUUGAUAUACAUUCCGGUUACUUACUUUCAGAAAUUGAAUUAUUGGAUAAUAAUCUUCUAAUUCUUUCCACCUCCGCUGGUUCAAGACCUGUGAAAUCAAUAAAAGAAAUUUCUUCUUUGAAUAAUAUACCUUUUAUUUCAUUGACCUCCGCUGGUUCUAAGUCUGAUAGAUCUAGGAAUCUUUUGAGAUAUCAAUACUUACUUUCAGGAAUUGAAUUUUUGAACAAUAAUCUAUUUAUUCUAUCGAUCUCUCUUGGUUCUAGACCUGUCAUAUCUAGAAAGGAAAUAUUUUCUUCACCUGUCCCAGGAUGCAUUUUAGAAGUUUCGAAUAAUAAAUCUUUUAUUCUUUUGACUUCCGCUGCUUCUAGGUCUGAUAGAUCUAGGAACUAAAAAAAAAAGAAAAACCCAAUAUAAUUGUGGUUACUAUUAUUGAAAGUGUAGUAUUUUUCAUUUGAUAAACACACAAAAGUAAAAUAUCCGAAAAACUCAAAACACCAUAAAACUCUCUACAUCAACAUUUAUAACUUACAUUCGAAAAUAUUCGAUUAUGAAGGUAAUUAAAUUAAAUUAUCGAAAUAACCAAAAUCUACUAUCAGAAAAUAUUCAUCCCCAUAUUGAAACAAUUGUCUUAUUGAACUCAUAAACAUUACACUUCAAUAAUUGUUCAUAAGAAAUCCAUGAAAUGAAUGAUCGUUAAAUAGAGUUUAGAUACAAUUCGACAGAAACAUAAAAUUUUUAAUCCGGCAUGACAAACAUGGAAUAUUUUCCUUUAUCAACGAUAAGUUUGGGAGAUGAUUUCCAGGAUUAGUUUGAAUUAAAGAAAUAAAAUCGACUAUAGCAUCCGAAUAUUUUGAACAAAUUAAUAUCAUCGAAAUUGAUUCCUCGCAUAUCGCUUGUGAAAGCACUAAGAUAUAAGCACCACUAAAUACUCGCAAAUACUAAGCACUUUGUAAAAGUAAUUCGGUUUUUCGAGCACUGAGCACUAACCAAUUUAUAGGGAACUUUUUUCAAUCGGAAUAAAUAUUGUACCUAUUCAACAUAUGUAUGAUUAUUGACGAUUAUAAGAGAGAUUACAUCUAUAGUCCGUUCAGGAA